Molecule: ribosomal RNA, 447 nt
Filed under: uncultured bacterium
Lineage: Bacteria
Description: partial 16S ribosomal RNA
Rfam family: Bacterial small subunit ribosomal RNA
Source: RNAcentral
AACGAACGCUGGCGGCAGGCUUAACACAUGCAGGUCGAGCGCCCCGCAAGGGGAGCGGCAGACGGGUGAGCAACACGUGGGAAUCUACCCAUCCCUACGGAACAACUCCGGGAAACUGGAGCUAAUACCGUAUACGCCCUUCGGGGGAAAGAUUUAUCGGGGAUGGAUGAGCCCGCGUUGGAUUAGCUAGUUGGUGGGGUAAAGGCCUACCAAGGCGACGAUCCAUAGCUGGUCUGAGAGGAUGAUCAGCCACAUUGGGACUGAGACACGGCCCAAACUCCUACGGGAGGCAGCAGUGGGGAAUAUUGGACAAUGGGCGCAAGCCUGAUCCAGCCAUGCCGCGUGAAUGAUGAAGGCCUUAGGGUUGUAAAGUUCUUUCACCGAUGAAGAUAAUGACGGUAGUCGGAGAAGAAGCCCCGGCUAACUUCGUGCCAGCCGCCGCCGUAA